Molecule: transfer RNA, 74 nt
Filed under: Glycine max (soybean)
Lineage: Eukaryota; Viridiplantae; Streptophyta; Magnoliopsida; Fabales; Fabaceae
Also listed under: 1 other name
Rfam family: tRNA
About the family: Transfer RNA (tRNA) molecules are approximately 80 nucleotides in length. Their secondary structure includes four short double-helical elements and three loops (D, anti-codon, and T loops). Further hydrogen bonds mediate the characteristic L-shaped molecular structure. tRNAs have two regions of fundamental functional importance: the anti-codon, which is responsible for specific mRNA codon recognition, and the 3' end, to which the tRNAs corresponding amino acid is attached (by aminoacyl-tRNA synthetases). tRNAs cope with the degeneracy of the genetic code in two manners: having more than one tRNA (with a specific anti-codon) for a particular amino acid; and 'wobble' base-pairing, i.e. permitting non-standard base-pairing at the 3rd anti-codon position.
Source: Rfam by way of RNAcentral
GGCAUAUUAGCUCGAUUGAUUAGAGCGUCGUAUUAAUAAUGCGAAAGUCACAAGUUUGAGACCUGCAUGAACCA